Molecule: ribosomal RNA, 432 nt
Filed under: uncultured bacterium
Lineage: Bacteria
Description: partial 16S ribosomal RNA
Rfam family: Bacterial small subunit ribosomal RNA
Source: RNAcentral
AACGAACGCUGGCGGCAUGCCUAACACAUGCAAGUCGAACGAGACCUUCGGGUCUAGUGGCGCACGGGUGCGUAACGCGUGGGAACCUGCCCUUAGGUUCGGAAUAACUCCCCGAAAGGGGUGCUAAUACCGGAUAAUGUCUUCGGACCAAAGAUUUAUCGCCUUUGGAUGGGCCCGCGUUGGAUUAGCUAGUUGGUAGGGUAAAAGCCUACCAAGGCGACGAUCCAUAGCUGGUCUGAGAGGAUGAUCAGCCACACUGGGACUGAGACACGGCCCAGACUCCUACGGGAGGCAGCAGUGGGGAAUAUUGGACAAUGGGCGAAAGCCUGAUCCGGCAAGGCCGCGGGAGUGAUGAAGGCAUUAGGGUGGUAAAGCUCUUUUACCCGGGAUGAUAAUGACAGUACCGGGAGAAUAAGCGCCGGAGAACUCCGA